This is a long non-coding RNA of Sorghum bicolor (sorghum), 338 nucleotides long. RefSeq lists it as uncharacterized. The record is from RefSeq and is a predicted model, not a curated record. The transcript is spliced from 3 exons. NCBI's taxonomy places the organism in Eukaryota, Viridiplantae, Streptophyta, Magnoliopsida, Poales, Poaceae.
UUGAAAAAAGACAAUCGAAUUGGUUUCAUCGAUCCAUAUGCCGUGUACAAGGACACUAAAACUAAAGAUCCAUUGAAUCUGAAGCCUAAGGAAAUGAAGAAGAACAUCCGGAGGUUCUUUUAUAACCAAAGGCAUACAGAGAAGAUACUCUUCCCUUACAAUAUGGGAGAUCAUUGGAUACUCAUUGAGAUUAAGAUCACGGAACAAAAAAUACAUGUGUGGGACUCAAUGAAAAAAGAUCUGGCACUCUAUCAAGACAUAAUAGACAUGAUCCAGAGGGCUUGGGUUUGGCUACAACAAAAAUAUCGUACGGAUCUGAAUGUGUCACUUCCUCCUCC